CGAAGAAGCGAUGAUGAUAACCGUUUUAUACCAGCUCACUAUGAGAUCUCUGUGGUCUAGGAAUAUACCCCUUCCAAUAUAUCUGAGCUUCUUCG
This is a small nucleolar RNA of Impatiens glandulifera, 95 nucleotides long. NCBI's taxonomy places the organism in Eukaryota, Viridiplantae, Streptophyta, Magnoliopsida, Ericales, Balsaminaceae. The record is from RefSeq and is a predicted model, not a curated record.